Molecule: unclassified non-coding RNA, 430 nt
Filed under: soil metagenome
Description: partial contains 5.8S ribosomal RNA, internal transcribed spacer 2, and large subunit ribosomal RNA
Rfam family: 5.8S ribosomal RNA (bases 1-120)
Source: RNAcentral
GAUGAAGAACGUAGCGAAAUGCGAUACGUAAUGUGAAUUGCAGAAUUCAGUGAAUCAUCGAAUCUUUGAACGCAUAUUGCGCUCUCUGGUAUUCCGGAGAGCAUGCUUGUUUGAGUAUCAGUAAACACCUCAACUCCCUUUUCUUUUUUGAAAUUGGAGCUGGACUUGAGUGAUCCCAACGCUUUCUUCCAAGAAAGUGGCGGGUUGCUUGAAAUGCAGGUGCAGCUGAACUUUUCUCUGAGCUAUAAGCAUAUCUAUUUAGUCUGCCUAAAAAACAGAUUAUUACCUUUGCUGCAGCUAACAUAAAGGAGACUAGUUCUUGUGCUGACUGAUGCAGGAUUCACAGAGACAGCUUCGGCUGACUUUGUAAACUCGAUCUCAAAUCAAGUAAGGCUACCCGCUGAACUUAAGCAUAUCAAUAAGCGGAGGA